GUCUCUGUGGCGCAAUCGGUUAGCGCGUUCGACUGUAAACUGAAAAGGUGGUGGUUCAAGCCCACCCAGGGACG
Molecule: transfer RNA, 74 nt
Filed under: Danio rerio (zebrafish)
Lineage: Eukaryota; Metazoa; Chordata; Actinopteri; Cypriniformes; Danionidae
Description: tRNA-Tyr (GTA) (tRNA-Tyr-GTA-60-1)
Rfam family: tRNA
About the family: Transfer RNA (tRNA) molecules are approximately 80 nucleotides in length. Their secondary structure includes four short double-helical elements and three loops (D, anti-codon, and T loops).
Source: Rfam by way of RNAcentral